This 1063-nucleotide long non-coding RNA is filed under the name Cyanistes caeruleus (blue tit). RNAcentral's name for it is "lncRNA (ENSCCEG00000010820.1)". The record is from RNAcentral. Lineage: Eukaryota; Metazoa; Chordata; Aves; Passeriformes; Paridae.
AAUAAACUGCUUUAUUUUGCGCUUUAUUUAAGUCUGACGGGAGCUGUAAUGGCAUUUGUGCUGGUCCUUAUUUCAGGCAUAGCUGAAGAGGCAAACCUCCCAGCUGGACCUGUAUAUCCCUUUCCACAACAGAUUCAUGCUGUAAUGCUCUGAGACUAGUUCCUUCCUCUUUUUACCUCCUCAUCUGCAGCUUUUGUACUUCCUUGUCCCUUAAAUAAUUAACAAGAAGAGGUUUGUCCUUUUAAAGGUUCCUGUCACGGAUACUUGCCUAUAAGAAGGUCUUAGAAAUGGACCUUUCUUAAAACACACUGAUAUCACUUGGAUUCAUCAUAUUUUUGGGGCAGUUUUAACAUGGCAACUGCAGAAGUCACAGACACUUGAGUAAAUGGUAUUCCUCACAGGCACAGGCUCAGAAGUCUCCACUCCUGGGAAAAGACAAGGCUACCAAAGAGGCAAAAGAAAGCAACAAGUUAUUCCAGAUGAGCAGCCUGCGCAACCCUUUGGCCAAUGUUUGACGCAUCAAAGAUCUGUCGUAGUUCAACCUUUUCAUACACCCUUAGUCAGAACAGAGGAAAGUCAGUUGAUAGUUUAAAAAAGAGCCAGUUGUAUUGGAAGAGGAUGCAGGAACCAUUCAGAGCUAGAAAGGUUGAAUUGCAGUGGGGAUGAGGGAGGACAACUCAAAGUUUUCUAAAUAAGGAGAUUAAGAGAUGCCUCAGUUACUGACUACUAGAACCAGCAUGGAAAAAUAAUUUGGAAUAAUAUUGUUGAGUCCACUAGAUAAAAAUACGGAUGGAUGUUCAGCUCAAGCUAAACAAAUUCAACCUAAAAAGAGAGCACAUUUUUUUUAACCAUGAGUAUGAAGUUAAACUUCAAAAGACAUUUACAGGAGAAGCAAUAAGUCACAUACUCUGGAUGUCUUUCUGGGAGAUCAAGUUUUAAUCAAGCCCAAAUUAUUGGCCUAGGUACAGGUAAAAUAUAAUGGACUGUGGUAUGUGUCCCUGCAGGUCUGCCUCACACCUGAUUCAUGAAUAAAGGCAUUUUAUAAGUCUGUGAUUAUGUGAUG